Long non-coding RNA from Sapajus apella (tufted capuchin), 430 nucleotides. RefSeq lists it as uncharacterized. The transcript has 2 exons. NCBI's taxonomy places the organism in Eukaryota, Metazoa, Chordata, Mammalia, Primates, Cebidae. The record is from RefSeq and is a predicted model, not a curated record.
CCGGGGCUGGCCCUGGCCCCGCCCACCCGCGGGAGAAAUAAGGCUCCUCCCACCAUCCAGGAAGAGGGCGGCCCGGCCAAAGAGAUGCUGAGCUCAGCAUUUUGGACCCCAGCGGCUCGGUGGGGGCAGGGCGCGGGGUUGGCGCCUUUCUGGAAUCGCUUAAUCCUGAAAGUCUUGUCAGAAGACAUGGCGAGAAACGGAGUAAUGCCCACACCACUAUGGCGGAGAAAGGAAGAGAGGAAGAAGCCUAAUUCGGUUUGUAAUCCUUCAUUCAUCUCUCUGUGUGGUUGUCCAGUGCCUGACUUGCCCACUAAACGGCGAGCUGUAGGAGGCCAGCGUCUGUAUCUGUUUUGUCCUGGGUCUUCUGGUGCCCUGCACAAAAAGCCUAGUCCACAGUUUCCAGUGAUAAUAGUUGAAGGAAAAAAAAAAA